GGCGGAGCUGUGGCACACUCUAGGCGUAGUAGUUUUACCGCCUCGCCUCUAGAGUGGCCCCGGCUGCCUGCCGUAAAACCCCUAAUUUUCUAGUGGUUGACC
Molecule: ribosomal RNA, 102 nt
Filed under: Annulohypoxylon truncatum
Lineage: Eukaryota; Fungi; Ascomycota; Sordariomycetes; Xylariales; Hypoxylaceae
Description: partial 28S ribosomal RNA
Source: RNAcentral